This is a long non-coding RNA of Gopherus evgoodei (Goodes thornscrub tortoise), 293 nucleotides long. RefSeq lists it as uncharacterized. Lineage: Eukaryota; Metazoa; Chordata; Testudines; Testudinidae. The transcript has 3 exons. The record is from RefSeq and is a predicted model, not a curated record.
CCUGGCUGCUCUGAGCAGAGUAGGGGUGGGGCCUUGCUGACUGUGAGUCUGCCAGAGCUUCCAUUUGAUUGGCUUCUCUCCCCCAUGAAUAGUGGGACUGUGAGUGGGACAGCAGGUUGUGAGUGGGGGGCUCUUGCUCUUUCAGGGACCGGUGACCUUCAAGGAGGUGGCUGUGUAUUUCACCAGGGAAGAGUGGGCUCUGCUGCACCCCCGUCAAAGAGCCCUCUACAGCGAAGUCAUGCAGGAGAACUUUGAGAAUGUGACCUCGUUGGGGUUUGCAGCUUCCAAACCUG